UGGGGAAUAUUGGACAAUGGGCGAAAGCCUGAUCCAGCCAUGCCGCGUGUGUGAAGAAGGUCUUCGGAUUGUAAAGCACUUUAAGUUGGGAGGAAGGGCACUUACCUAAUACGUAUCUGUUUUGACGUUACCGACAGAAUAAGCACCGGCUAACUCUGUGCCAGCAGCCGCGGUAAUACAGAGGGUUGCAAGCGUUAAUCGGAAUUACUGGGCGUAAAGCGCGCGUAGGUGGUUAGUUAAGUUGGAUGUGAAAUCCCCGGGCUCAACCUGGGAACUGCAUUCAAAACUGACUGACUAGAGUAUGGUAGAGGGUGGUGGAAUUUCCUGUGUAGCGGUGAAAUGCGUAGAUAUAGGAAGGAACACCAGUGGCGAAGGCGACCACCUGGACUGAUACUGACACUGAGGUGCGAAAGCGUGGGGAGCAAACAGGAUUAGAUACCCGUGUAGUCCCUGAGCGGGCUGGCAAGGCGCAU
This 473-nucleotide ribosomal RNA is filed under the name uncultured bacterium. Its description in RNAcentral is "bacterial SSU rRNA". It matches the Rfam family "Bacterial small subunit ribosomal RNA", at positions 355 to 825 of the family's 1533-position model. The record is from RNAcentral.